UACGUAGGGUGCAAGCGUUGUCCGGAAUUAUUGGGCGUAAAGAGCUCGUAGGCGGUUUGUCGCGUCUGCUGUGAAAACUGGAGGCUCAACCUCCAGCCUGCAGUGGGUACGGGCAGACUAGAGUGCGGUAGGGGAGAUUGGAAUUCCUGGUGUAGCGGUGGAAUGCGCAGAUAUCGGGAAGAACACCCGUGGCGAAGGCGGCUCUCUGGGACGGUACUGACGCUGAGACGCGAAAGCGUGGGGAGCGAACAGG
Molecule: ribosomal RNA, 253 nt
Filed under: uncultured bacterium
Lineage: Bacteria
Description: partial 16S ribosomal RNA
Rfam family: Bacterial small subunit ribosomal RNA
Source: RNAcentral